This 1377-nucleotide long non-coding RNA is filed under the name Nicotiana benthamiana. RNAcentral's name for it is "long non-coding RNA (NBEN_LNC003740)". The record is from RNAcentral. Lineage: Eukaryota; Viridiplantae; Streptophyta; Magnoliopsida; Solanales; Solanaceae.
CUUAGCCAGAAUAGACCAAGCUAAGCAAAGAGGAACCUAUCCCAAGCGUAGCAUCAACUAUUAUAUCUUCCCUACUGCUAUAAAGGAAUAAGGAGAGAGACAAUGCAGAGAAGCACUUUUCGAAGAGAGAGAAAGAAACCUCCCUAACUCAGAAAGGCCCAGACUGCGCUGAGGAAAGAAUGGCACUUUACAAAUAAGAAGAGGGGCAAUGAGAGCAGAGAAAGAAAGCUAACCUAAAGGUAAUUAUUUCUCUAAAGGGCGACGCAAACGUGAAGGUCAUUUUCCUUACUGGCACUGAAAACCUUCAAGGACAGGCGUAAAGCCCUCCUCACUGGUUGGCAGAGACCCUAUUCGAUCGUAUGGACCUAUUCCCAUUUAUGGCACAGUAUCCCAAGCAGUAAGGCUCUGUAGAGCUAGUCUCCCUUGAGACCUGCUGCCGCAAAAGCUCUUUCUGCUGCUCCUUCGCCUGCGGAUUAAGCUGUAGAAGGCAAGCAAGCAAACCUUGGCAACUGGCAAUUUCAAGGAUCAGGGGAGGUAUGAAAUGGUUAUCUCGGCUGGGAAUCAAGCCCCAACACAAAGAGCUGUGGGCCAGGUUGCUUUGCUUUAUCGGAUCAAUCAGUGUGCAGUGGGCAAGCUCUUUCCCAAGUCGCUGAGCUGUUUAACAGAGGGAAGGUCAAAGAGCUGUGGGGCUAGGAGUGUUCUCAAUCUUAGCAUUCCGAGACAAAGCCUGGGUCGUCGAACUAAAGAAUCUCAGCAUUGGCCAUAAAAACGCGUUUGAAGGCCUGUUUCUGGGACUGAUAGGGAGGGGUCUAAAACUUAGAUUUCUGCUAUAUCAACCUUCCAAACCAAAAGGGGAUUCCGCUCCUACCGCUAAAGCAUUGUUUCGGCCCCUGCUUCCAGAAGAGUUGGUGCAAAAGUCAUUGUAGUCCAAAUAGCGUAUUUCCGGUUAGGGGCCUAAGACUCACUAAAGCAAUUGUAGCUAUUCACUCCUUCUAGUUCUAGUGAAUUUCGCUCCAAAUAGCAUAAAAAGAAGCUUGAGUUCAAUUAGGGGGGAACCCUCUGUAGUCAACCUGCUCCCAAUGAAGAGGUAAGGGGCGUAGCGAUGAAGUCGAACAGGGUUGGUAAAUUCACCGGGUGACUCGAAAGCAGGCUCUUAAAGACCACUCCUAGCGCGUCAGUCAUUUCGCUCCCAAAGAGCUCCCUAAAAACGUUGCCAAUAUCGACAGCAGCUCCUGUUCAAGCUCUUGUUUCGGUUCCCGCAAAAGAAAUUGUUGCAGUCUCAACUGGAUAAAUGAACAGCUUCGCAUCUAUUUCCUAUUGUAAUGACAAAGGUUUUUCUACUGAUCCAGUGUCAGAUAAUUGGGAAUUCUCUUUUAG